Long non-coding RNA from Centruroides sculpturatus (bark scorpion), 799 nucleotides. RefSeq lists it as uncharacterized. Lineage: Eukaryota; Metazoa; Arthropoda; Arachnida; Scorpiones; Buthidae. The transcript is spliced from 2 exons. The record is from RefSeq and is a predicted model, not a curated record.
AUUUUUGAUCUAAAAUUCAAAAUUAAUAUUUGAGCACUGAUUAUAAUUUUUCCUCCUCAGUGAAAGCAUUUCAUAUCAAAUGGGACGAAAUGAGAUUAGAUUCCAAUGUAGCAAAGUGGGCGGUGCAUGUCAUUCAGUUGAGUAAACAGAAACGUCACUUGGAUCAUGCAAAUCUCUUAAAAUUUUGGGAAGUUUUAGACAGUUUUAUGGUGAAACAUAAACAUCACUUGCGUUUCUAAUUACUUUUGGUUCAAAUAUAAAAGUGUUCUCGACCAAUCUGACCAACAGGACUGUAGAGCGCAUGCAAAAAUUUCCAUCUUUUUAUCUGUUUUAUAACAGAAAUUGAGUCGUGCAGAUCGGGCAUGUUUGACAAAAGAAAUUAUUUUAAAUCUUGGAUUUAAAUCACAUUACCGUGUAAUUGUUGUACAGUUUUUUAAAAACAUAAAAUUGUCAUUUUUUGAGGCGGUAUUAUGUCAUUACAUAGUGCUGAUAUGCUCUUUGUAUGAAAUUUGUAUUAGUAUAGUUCUUCCAUGGAUCUGAUUUGUCAUAAUUAUCAAUUCUGCACCAACAAAAAUCAUCGUCAUGUAAGGAAUGUUUUUUUUCCCUCCCCACUUAUUAGCAUCACAUUUUAGGGAAACAAAUCUAAUUGUAAAUAAUUGAUAACACUACAAAAGAUAUUUGGGGAAUAAAGAAAAGGACUAUAUACAACUGUAAAUAAAAUGUUGCUAGAUUAUUGUUAACACAAUUGUCUUCUAGCUUUUAUAAAUUUAUGAUUUAAUUAAAUUAGUUUUGAAAUGAA